CGAAGGGUGCAAGCGUUUAAUCGGAAUUACUGGGCGUAAAGGGUGCGUAGGCGGUUAUUUAAGUCUGCCGUGAAAUCCCCGGGCUCAACUGGGAAUGGCGGUGGAUACUGGAUAGCUAGAGUGUGUCAGAGGAUGGUGGAAUUCCCGGUGUAGCGGUGAAAUGCGUAGAGAUCGGGAGGAACAUCAGUGGCGAAGGCGGCCAUCUGGGACAACACUGACGCUGAAGCACGAAAGCGUGGGGAGCAAACAGGAUUAGAUACCCUGGUAGUCCACGCCCUAAACGAUGCGAACUGGAUGUUGGUCUCAACUCGGAGAUCAGUGUCGAAGCUAACGCGUUAAGUUCGCCGCCUGGGGAGUACGGCCGCAAGACUG
Molecule: ribosomal RNA, 372 nt
Filed under: uncultured organism
Description: bacterial SSU rRNA
Rfam family: Bacterial small subunit ribosomal RNA
Source: RNAcentral